AACGAACGCUGGCGGCAUGCCUUAUACAUGCAAGUCGAACGCGAAAGUCUUCGGAUGAGUAGAGUGGCAAACGGGUGAGUAACGCGUGGGAAUAUACCUUAUAGUACGGAAUAGCCUCGGGAAACUGGGAUUAAUACCGUAUACGCCCUUCGGGGGAAAGAUUUAUCGCUAUAAGAUUAGCCAGCGUCAGAUUAGCUUGUUGGUGGGGUAAUGGCCUACCAAGGCAACGAUCUGUAGCGGGUCUGAGAGGAUGAUCAGCCACAUUGGGACUGAGAUACGGCCCAAACUCCUACGGGAGGCAGCAGUAGGGAAUAUUGGACAAUGGACGAAAGUCUGAUCCAGCAAUGCCGCGUGAGUGAUGAAGGCCUUAGGGUUGUAAAGCUCUUUUAGUAGGGAAGAUAAUGACGGUACCUACAGAAAAAGCACCGGCUAACUCCGUGCCAGCAGCCGCGGUAA
RNAcentral lists this ribosomal RNA (456 nucleotides) under uncultured bacterium. Its description in RNAcentral is "partial 16S ribosomal RNA". It matches the Rfam family "Bacterial small subunit ribosomal RNA", at positions 29 to 523 of the family's 1533-position model. The record is from RNAcentral.